UGGGGAAUUUUGGACAAUGGGCGAAAGCCUGAUCCAGCAAUGCCGCGUGUGUGAAGAAGGCCUUCGGGUUGUAAAGCACUUUUGUCCGGAAAGAAAUCCUUGGCUCUAAUACAGUCGGGGGAUGACGGUACCGGAAGAAUAAGCACCGGCUAACUACGUGCCAGCAGCCGCGGUAAUACGUAGGGUGCAAGCGUUAAUCGGAAUUACUGGGCGUAAAGCGUGCGCAGGCGGUUUGCUAAGACCGAUGUGAAAUCCCCGGGCUCAACCUGGGAACUGCAUUGGUGACUGGCAGGCUAGAGUAUGGCAGAGGGGGGUUAGAAUUCCACGUGUAGCAGUGAAAUGCGUAGAGAUGUGGAGGAAUACCGAUGGCGAAGGCAGCCCCCUGGGCCAAUACUGACGCUCAUGCACGAAAGCGUGGGGAGCAAAGCAGGAUUAGAUACCCUGGUAGUCCACGCCCUAAACGAUGUCAACUAGUUGUUGGGGAUUCAUUUCCUUAGUAACGUAGCUAACGCGUGAAGUUGACCGCCUGGGGAGUACGGUCGCAAGAUUAAAACUCAAAUGGAAUUGACGGGGUCAUAGCUGUUUCCU
This 588-nucleotide ribosomal RNA is filed under the name uncultured bacterium. RNAcentral describes it as "partial 16S ribosomal RNA". It matches the Rfam family "Bacterial small subunit ribosomal RNA", at positions 355 to 1375 of the family's 1533-position model. The record is from RNAcentral.